GUAUGUCCCGAGCGNUAUCCGGAUUUAUUGGGCGUAAAGCGAGCGCAGACGGUUUAUUAAGUUUGAUGUGAAAGCCCGGAGCUCAACUCCGGAAUGGCAUUGGAAACUGGUUAACUUGAGUGCAGUAGAGGUAAGUGGAACUCCAUGUGUAGCGGUGGAAUGCGUAGAUAUAUGGAAGAACACCAGUGGCGAAGGCGGCUUACUGGACUGCAACUGACGUUGAGGCUCGAAAGUGUGGGUAGCAAACAGGAUUAGAUACCCUGGUAGUCCACACCGUAAACGAUGAACACUAGGUGUUAGGAGGUUUCCGCCUCUUAGUGCCGAAGCUAACGCAUUAAGUGUUCCGCCUGGGGAGUACGACCGCAAGGUUGAAACUCAAAGGAAUUGACGGGGACCCGCACAAGCGGUGGAGCAUGUGGUUUAAUUCGAAGCAACGCGAAGAACCUUACCAGGUCUUGACAUCCUUUGAAGCUUUUAGAGAUAGAAGUGUUCUCUUCGGAGACAAAGUGACAGGUGGUGCAUGGUCGUCGUCAGCUCGUGUCGUGAGAUGUUGGGUUAAGUCCCGCAACGAGCGCAACCCUUAUUGUUAGUUGCCAGCAUUCAGAUGGGCACUCUAGCGAGACUGCCGGUGACAAACCGGAGGAAGGCGGGGACGACGUCAGAUCAUCAUGCCCCUUAUGACCUGGGCUACACACGUGCUACAAUGGCGUAUACAACGAGUUGCCAACCCGCGAGGGUGAGCUAAUCUCUUAAAGUACGUCUCAGUUCGGAUUGUAGUCUGCAACUCGACUACAUGAAGUCGGAAUCGCUAGUAAUCGCGGAUNCCAGCAGCCGCGGUAAUACGUUCCCGGGUCUUGUACACACCGCCCGUCACACCAUGGGAGUUUGUAAUGCCCAAAGCCGGUGGCCUAACCUUUUAGGAAGAGCCUCUAGG
RNAcentral lists this ribosomal RNA (934 nucleotides) under Leuconostoc mesenteroides subsp. mesenteroides. RNAcentral describes it as "bacterial SSU rRNA". It matches the Rfam family "Bacterial small subunit ribosomal RNA", at positions 527 to 1461 of the family's 1533-position model. Lineage: Bacteria; Bacillati; Bacillota; Bacilli; Lactobacillales; Lactobacillaceae. The record is from RNAcentral.